CACCAAGAAAUUAAGUCAUUUUAGUUUAUGGUUAAAAGGCAGUUAGAUAAUAUAUUAAAAAUAAAUUUAAGUUGUUUAAUGUUAUAUAUAAAGGUAAAAUUUAAAUAUAAUUGCAUAAUUUAUUAGCAACUUUAAUAACAUUGAAUCUGCGAAAUUCUUGAGGGAAACUGGGAUUAGGUACCCCAUUAUUCUUGAAGGUAAAUUAUAUUAUAUUAAUUACCAGAGUACUAUGAAUUAAAUUAAAUUUAAAACUCAAAGGACUUGGCGGUGUCUUAGACCACUUAGGGGAACCUGUCUCGUAAUCGACAAUCCACGUUAUACCUGACCUUUUUUUGUUAUCAGUUUGUAUACCGUUGUCGUCAGGUAACUUUUUAGAAAAAUGAAGUUAGCAAUAUAAAUAUAUUAUUUAGUACGUCAAAUCAAGGUGCAGCUAAUAGAAAGGAGAGGAUGGGUUACAAUUAUUUAUUUAUAAUUACGGAAGUAAAAUAUAGAAAUAUAUUACAUAAGGAGGACUUGAAAGUAAAUUAGAAUAGACAUAUAAUUUGAAUGAGGCUCUGAGAUGUGU
Molecule: ribosomal RNA, 565 nt
Filed under: Hastula strigilata
Lineage: Eukaryota; Metazoa; Mollusca; Gastropoda; Neogastropoda; Terebridae
Description: partial 12S ribosomal RNA
Source: RNAcentral